Molecule: ribosomal RNA, 206 nt
Filed under: uncultured bacterium
Lineage: Bacteria
Description: partial 16S ribosomal RNA
Rfam family: Bacterial small subunit ribosomal RNA
Source: RNAcentral
CGCGUAGGCGGAUCGUUAAGUCAGAGGUGAAAUCCCAAGGCUCAACCUUGGAACUGCCUUUGAUACUGGCGAUCUUGAGUAUGAGAGAGGUAUGUGGAACUCCGAGUGUAGAGGUGAAAUUCGUAGAUAUUCGGAAGAACACCAGUGGCGAAGGCGACAUACUGGCUCAUUACUGACGCUGAGGCGCGAAAGCGUGGGAGCAAACA